UGUUGUGGCUUUACUGACAUUUUAAAGCCUGAUCUCGUUAGAUUUCAGAACUAAGCAAGGGCUGGCCUGGUUAGAACCUGGAUGGGAGACCACUGGGAACACCAGGUGCUACAAGUG
Molecule: ribosomal RNA, 117 nt
Filed under: Periophthalmus magnuspinnatus
Lineage: Eukaryota; Metazoa; Chordata; Actinopteri; Gobiiformes; Gobiidae
Source: RNAcentral